AAACCAACCGGGAUUGCCUUAGUAACGGCGAGUGAAGCGGCAAAAGCUCAAAUUUGAAAUCUGGUACCUUCGGUGCCCGAGUUGUAAUUUGGAGAGGGCAACUUUGGGGCCGUUCCUUGUCUAUGUUCCUUGGAACAGGACGUCAUAGAGGGUGAGAAUCCCGUGUGGCGAGGAGUGCGGUUCUUUGUAAAGUGCCUUCGAAGAGUCGAGUUGUUUGGGAAUGCAGCUCUAAGUGGGUGGUAAAUUCCAUCUAAAGCUAAAUAUUGGCGAGAGACCGAUAGCGAACAAGUACAGUGAUGGAAAGAUGAAAAGCACUUUGAAAAGAGAGUGAAAAAGUACGUGAAAUUGUUGAAAGGGAAGGGCUUGCAAGCAGACA
Molecule: ribosomal RNA, 376 nt
Filed under: uncultured Saccharomyces
Lineage: Eukaryota; Fungi; Ascomycota; Saccharomycetes; Saccharomycetales; Saccharomycetaceae
Description: LSU rRNA
Rfam family: Eukaryotic large subunit ribosomal RNA
Source: RNAcentral